CUCGUUCAGCUCCUCCAUCCCACGUUGCCACCAUGCAUAGGGCAACCACUCCUAGAAAAUCAUCCUAGACCUUCAAAAGGAAGUAUCCAAGCCAGAGGUUAUCAAUCAUCCUUCUCCUCUUACCUUUCUUCUCGUUCCUGUGCAUAUCAGCCUGCUUGUAUGUCCCAGAACGCCUAAUUUGGGGCCUCUGAUUAAAAUGUCUUCUUCAUGAAAGUUGUUCGUCUCUGUCUCUUCUACCUGACCUCCAAAUUUCAGUCCUAUUGGAGUCGUUUUGAGACCUGUACAUCAAUCGAAGUGAGAGCUGUUUAGAAGUGAACCUGCUCCGAAUUUCUGCUGGUAUUCCUCCUCUUGCUCCACCCGAAUUCCCCAAAUCUUGUUUGAGAUUGAUCCCAAUAAUUGAUCAAGCAAACUUCUUGGCAUGCAACUGGGGGUGAUCAAAUCAAACUCCCUCAGCUCUCUUUCCGGUGGAAGCCCUCAAGAAAACUCACCUUUUUGGUUGGUCCUUAGCUCGGCAUCUUGGUAGGAUCUUGUGAAGUUGGUGGUUGCUACAAGGUUGCAUUGAGGCCAAGUACUGCAAGGGAAAGCUCGGGUUCCAGUUUGUUUUGUAGGUUGUUGCUGUCAAUGCUUGGGUAUGGAGGAUUAUUUUUGGAGGCCAUAAAUUGUUUUAUCUAAAUUUUAUUUUUCUCUUUA
Molecule: long non-coding RNA, 690 nt
Organism: Rosa chinensis
Lineage: Eukaryota; Viridiplantae; Streptophyta; Magnoliopsida; Rosales; Rosaceae
Exons: 4
Source: RefSeq, a predicted model, not a curated record